GGGUUCGAAUCCCUAAGUUGGCAUUUCUAUGAUUCUAUUGUUACGACCCAAACUCCAUAUUUAUAAUGUCGUGACGUCACCUAGUCUCUACGAUUAGGUAAGCCUAACAAAUUGCGGAAAAUAACAAAACGAAAAUAAAACUUAGCAACUAACAGCAGUGGAUAACUGAAUAACUAGUAAAAAUGCCGCCUGGCAUGUACAAAUAUCAAUACUCUAUAAUUGCACAGUCUUCCCAAAACGAAACAUCGUAAGUCACAAGCUAAAGAAGGAAACUAGUAUCUCUAUACACCAGAGUCUAACAAAAGAAGUACAUAAGGUAAUUGACAUAGGGGAGAAUAGAAGGGGACUCCGAGGUCUGUGGACGCGACAGAUAUACCCUGAAGUCUCCGUACAGCAGCAAACACUCUCAGCUAAUAGCGGGGCUGAUAAGAAGUACUUGGAUCUGCACACAAAAACAUGUGCAGAAGAGUAGCGUGAGUACACUACAACGGUACCCAAUAAGUGCCAAGCCUAACCUCGGUCGAGUAGUGACGAGGUCAGGUCAGGCCCACUAGUAAAUAAUAAAUAAGGCAGGAGAAUAUAUACAGUAUAAUAAGAGACUAGAAUUUAACAAAAGGAAGCACCGGAAGGCAGUAGUACAACACACAGGAGUAAACAACAUGGUAUCUCCCGAAAUAUCGUCUCGUAGUCCCAAAAUAAAUAUAUAUGGAGAACUUCCGAGGUACCGCCUCGUAGUCUCAAAAGUAAAUAUACAGGGAGAGCUCCCAAGAUACUACCUUGUAGUCUCAAAAGUAAAUAUGCAGGGAGAACUCCCGAAGAAUCGCCUCGUAGUCUCAAAAGUAACUGUACAGGGAGAACUCCCGAGGUACCACCUCGUAGUCUCAAAAGUAAAUGUGUAGGGAGAACUCCCGAGGAACCGCCUCGUAGUCUCAAAAGUAAACACACAGUUCAAACCAGUAAAUACAACAAAUAGCAAGAUUUCUACAGUUAUACUGAUAAAGAACAAGGAAAAAUAGGAAAUCAACUAGGCAUGCUUCACAGAGUUCAAAUAAACAGUUAAAGCACGUAGACAUGCGAUAUUAGACUAAACAGGAUAACUACACAUAUUGGAAUAGCUCAAUUAAGAAUGAAAACAGACUAAUACUUAUUUAAACGGUAUAACUCAAAUGAAAGGGAAAACAGGUUGCUACUUAGUAAAAUAAAUCGGAAAAUCCCUCGCAGGUGCGGAAAUGACUUAAGGGGCUGGGUCCGCAUCUGCGAGCAAGGGACCGUACCUACGCGCCCGCUCCUACGGAUAUCUUUCAUUUCUGCGAAACCUCACGCUCCAGGCCCCGUCCGCUUCUGCGCUCCAUCUUUCGCACGUGCGAGUCUUCACCUGCGGUCUCCCCACCGCAGGUGCGAAAACACUAGAAACCAGAAACCUCAGCAAAAACACAAGUAAAAUUUUCGAUCCGUUAAGCAUCCGAAAUACACCCGAGGCCCCAGGACCUCAACCAAAGAUACUAAAAAGUCCUAAAAUACCAUACGCACUUAGUCGAGCCCUCAAAUCACAUCAAACAAUGCUAAAAUAUGAAUCACCCUCCGAUUCAAACUUAAUGAACUUGAAACUUCCAAUUUCUACAAUCGAUGCUGGAACCUAUCAAACCACGUCCGAUUGACCCCAAAUUUUGCACACAAGUCAUAUUCAACCCUAUAGACCUACUCCAACUUCCGAAAUCGGAAUCCGACCCUAAUUUCAAAAAUUUCACUACCGGUCAAAAUCUUCAAAAAUUCAACUUUCGCCAUUUCAAGCCUAAAUGAAAUACAGACCUCCAAAACAAAAUUCGGACAUACCCCUAAGCCCAAAAUCACUCAACGGAGCUAACGGAACCGAUAAAACUCUAUUCCGGAGUCGUCUUCAUACAGUUCCGACUACGGUCAAUAAUUCUAAGGCUUAAGCUUCCAUUUAGGGACUAAGUGUCCCAAUAAUACUCUGAAACCAACAACAAAACCUCCCGGCAAGUAACAUAAGCAGAAAAAGAUAUGGGGGAAGCAAUUAAUAGGGGAUCGGGGCUAUUACUCUCAAAACGACAUGCCGGGUCGUUACAUCUAUCUGCCUAUUUAUUUUUUGAAACUAAACAGGGAUCAUAUUCGGCUAUUUGACUCUCUUUUUUAAUCUUAAAACUUCUUAAUAUAAAUAACUCUUAAAAUUUGUGUAAAACCAAAUAACUUAAAAAAUAAACAACUUAUCAUAGAAGUAGUUUUUUAUUUAUAAGUUAUUUAAGAAAAAUUAUAUAUUAAAUGCCAAGCGCUACAAAAAUUUAUUUAACAAAAAGUUCUCAUAGAAAACUUCUCGAUCCUCUCUUUCUUCUGAUUCUAUGCUUACUGUCACGAUCCAAAAUUACGUGACUGGUACCUGGCACACUACCCGACCCGAGCGAACCAAACAUGACGUCUUUCAUGAAAACCAAUUUUAACUGCGGAAGCUUCUUGAAAAUCAUAUACAUUUUCAAGUUAAAUGAUAAAAUAUUUUCCAAUUCAAAAUCACACAUGACGUCUUGCAUGAUAAUAAAAAUGAGACUAAGUAAAAUAAAUAUACUUUUAUGUAUAUUGUGUACAACCCCGUUAUUACAACUUUUCACAACUAUCUAUGGAGUCUUUAUACCAAAGAACAGAAUUAAACAAUUGGGUUAAUACCCGACUAGCGUAAAUUAAGAAAACAACAUGAUAACUACCGCGAAACAGGAGUGGUGCCUUACCAUAUACCUCAGGAAGAAAGUCAUCCUAGCCCUGACCGCAUGCCACGUAUCAUACCUCAUCCUGAAAUAUGUAAAGUAAGCGGGACCCUGGAGGGAAGGCCCUAAGGGAUGAGUACACCACAUCGGUACUCAAUAAGUGUCAUAGACUCUCUCUAACUUAAGUUCUUGGGACAAACUUUAUAGAAAAAAUGCAUCAAUAUUUGAUAUAAAACGAUAAGAAAUUUUAUCAAUUCAUGAUCCUUGUCAUUUUAAAUAAAAGACAAGAAAAACAUAACCCACAAUAUAUACUUUUAAAACAUAUAUAUCAACCCAAGAUUUUGGAUAAAUUCAUACAAAAUCAUUUCAUUUGCUUUAAGUCAUUGAAAUUACUUUCGGCUCCUUAGGCCUAAACAUAGGAAAAUCAUCAUUACCUUUCACUGGGAGUACUAUACCAUCACCGACAUAAGAAGGUCAACUAGGUUAUGUACCUAGCAGAAAGUAUCAUACACCCUACUUGCUCAGGUCGUCUCAUCGUAAUGUCGUACGAAUCGACUCAGCCAUGCUAAUAAUAACAUAAAAUAGUACCCCCCCCCCCUCGAGGGAGAGCACUCUGCCGUAGUCUAUACCACAAAGUGGCCAUCUACGCCUACACCGACACGUAUAGUUUCAUAACAACGAACACAAUAUAUCUGAAGUCAAUCUCGGUGAACACAACUCCCAAAAUAUUUGAUACUUCAAAAAUAGAUUCAUAGCAUAGUAGUCUCAAAUGAUCUAUUUUUAUCAAAUCAUAGCAUUAAUAGAAAAUCAAGACAUUUGAACAAAUUUUAAAUAAAUAACCUUUUACAUAUUAAAACUUUUAGCAAUUUAACAUCAAUCUUUGAAAGAUACCGGUCACAAGUGCUAUUCUAUUUAUCAAUUUUCAAAAGAAAUACUUUUCAUGAAAACUUAUCUUUAGCACUCAAAUAUGUAUACUCUUAUCAAUACAUAAGUUUUGAUAAAAACUUAUAGUAACAUUUAUCUUGAGUGUCAUUUUGGCAACAAGAUUUAAAAUAAAAUUUUAUAAAACAACAUGACACUACAUGUGCAACGUAAUAUUUUAGUACAUGGAGACAUCUGUACUUCUUUGUCCCCACAAGCACGAAAGCACAUUUGCAAAUAACUUAAGCAUUAACUCGAAACAUGCUUUUAGAGAAUCCCUCAAAAAGAGUAAGUUUUAAUCAACUUACCUCGCUUUCGCUUUAUUAACAUUCACAAACUUUCAAUCCUCUUCCAUCGUUCCAACCUUGAUUAAAAUGCUCAAGCA
RNAcentral lists this long non-coding RNA (4020 nucleotides) under Nicotiana tabacum (common tobacco). RNAcentral describes it as "long non-coding RNA (NTAB_LNC011848)". Lineage: Eukaryota; Viridiplantae; Streptophyta; Magnoliopsida; Solanales; Solanaceae. The record is from RNAcentral.